GACGAACGCUGGCGGCGUGCCUAAUACAUGCAAGUAGAACGCUGAAGAGAGGGGCUUGCUCUUCUUGGAUGAGUUGCGAACGGGUGAGUAACGCGUAGGUAACCUGCCUUGUAGCGGGGGAUAACUAUUGGAAACGAUAGCUAAUACCGCAUAACAAUAGGUGACACAUGUCAUUUAUUUGAAAGGGGCAAUUGCUCCACUACAAGAUGGACCUGCGUUGUAUUAGCUAGUAGGUGAGGUAACGGCUCACCUAGGCGACGAUACAUAGCCGACCUGAGAGGGUGAUCGGCCACACUGGGACUGAGACACGGCCCAGACUCCUACGGGAGGCAGCAGUAGGGAAUCUUCGGCAAUGGGGGCAACCCUGACCGAGCAACGCCGCGGGAGUGAAGAAGGUUUUCGGAUCGUAAAGCUCUGUUGUAAGUCAAGAACGAGUGUGAGAGUGGAAAGUUCACACUGUGACGGUAGCUUACCAGAAAGGGACGGCUAACUACGUG
RNAcentral lists this ribosomal RNA (497 nucleotides) under uncultured bacterium. RNAcentral describes it as "partial 16S ribosomal RNA". It matches the Rfam family "Bacterial small subunit ribosomal RNA", at positions 28 to 507 of the family's 1533-position model. The record is from RNAcentral.